RNAcentral lists this ribosomal RNA (1937 nucleotides) under Madracis myriaster. Its description in RNAcentral is "partial 16S large subunit ribosomal RNA". It matches the Rfam family "Bacterial large subunit ribosomal RNA". Lineage: Eukaryota; Metazoa; Cnidaria; Anthozoa; Scleractinia; Pocilloporidae. The record is from RNAcentral.
GUAAUAAAAAUUAUAAAAAAAAAGAGGACAACUAAGAUAAACUAAAAUUAGACGAUUUUUUUCGAAAUGGCGCUUAGUUGCUUUAUUGGCCGUUUCUCCAGAAAAGUGAUUUUUUAAUUUGAAUUGAAACAUCUUAUUACCAAGUAAAAAUCAAACGAGAUUCCGAGAGUGGCGGAGAGUGAAAUUGGAGCUGUGCUUGUGGUGGUCAUAGACCUUGCUUAAAUAUUAGUUUAUACUGAUAGUGAGAGUACUGUAAAGGAAAGUUGAAAGAGAGUUGAAAAGAGUUUGAAUUUUUUAUUUUUGAAGUAGCUUUUGAAAGGCGUACCUUUUGUAUAAUGGGUAAAAGAGAUUUAUUUGGCAUAUUUAAAGCGGAAAGUUUUAAGUAAUUUUUUUUUUAGUCAAAUUCCCCGAAACCAAGUGAUUUAAUCAUGAAUUGUGUUAGCAAAAACUGGUGAUUGUGGCAAAAAUCUCAGAAAAUUUGUGAUUAGGGGUGAAAGGCCAAUCGAACUUGGAAAUAGCUGGUUUUCUGCGAAAACUAUUUAAGUAGUGUUCUUUUUUUUUUAUUCUAAUUGUCAUUUUAAAAAAAACAAAAAUAAAAUAAAAGUAAACAAACAAUAAAUGAAAAGAUUUUUUGUUAAAAGAGAAAGCUCAAAUUAGAAGCUAUUGUCAUUUUUUUUUCUUUAGUUUAAAAAAAAAUUAAAUUUAGACAAUAAAAAUGUAGGCUUGGAACCAGCCAUCUUUUAAAAAGUACGUAGUUGUUUAUUUAAAAAUUUUAACUUUUUUUUAUAAUUUUGGUGGCUUAAAUAAAACAAAAGCUCUGAAAAUAAUUAUAUAUUUCGUAGCAGAAUAAAUUGUUUUCGAUCCUUGAGUUGAUUCCAAAAUCCCUUUUAGUUUGAAAUCGGAUCCAGUUGUAAUAAUUUUUACAUAAGUAAUCUAAAUAUUAUUUUUUUUUCUUAAUACUACCUCUAAGAGGAUAACACAGUUUCUAAAAAAGAAAUUUUUUAUGAAGAUUUUUUAUAAAAAUAUAUAAUAUCGGGAAAAGAAAAAAAAAGAACUGUUUUUCUAAUUAAAGAAAGAAAAAAAAAAAGAAAAACAUUUUUUUAAGGAAUUCGGCAAAGUUAAGCUUCGACUGUUUACCAAAAACAUAGCUUUUUGAUUUUUAUAAAAGGUGAAACCUGCCCGAUGGUUGUAUCUUAAUAUGUUUGUCCCGCCUACUAAUAAAGACAAUUAAAUGGCCGCGGUAACACUGACUGUGAUAAUGUAGCGCAAUCAAUUGUCAAUUAAUUGUUGACCGGUAUGAAUGGUAUCCCGAAAGUUUUUCUGUCUUAAAAAAAUAUUCAAUGAAAUUAAAUCUGUAGUGAAGAUGCUACAUUUUAAUUGUUAGACGAGAAGUCCCCAUGGAGCUUUACUGUAAGCUUAUAUAUAUAAAUUUUCUCUUUUAUAAGCAAGACAGUUUUGUUGGGGCGACAGUUUUUUAAAAAGUAACGAAAAUGAACUAUGACGCAUGUUUAACUUUGAAAUUUUUUUAUUGAUGAGACAUUUUUGGUGUGUUUUUUGAUCCGUUAUUUUGAGUGAAAAAAAUAACGAAAACAAAUAAAAGUUACCCUGGGGAUAACAGCGCAAUAACGUUUGAGAGUUAAUUAACGACAGUGUUUGCGACCUCGAUGUUGAAUUGUAACGUCCUACGGUGUAGUCACUCGUAAGGGUUGGUUUGUUCAUCCAUUACAGUUAUACAUGAUUUGAGUUAAAAGCGUGGUGACACAGCUUGGUUUCUAUCUACAAUUAGAAAACAAAAAUAUGUUGUUUUUUCGUACGAAAGGAUCAAAAAUCAAUAGUUCUCUUAAUACAACUAUUCUUUAAAUUAGGAUUGCUUCUAAAAAUAAAAAGAAAUAUUUUUGUUUGUUGGCCAUCUACGAUUAGAACAUAAAAUUUUAUUA